UGGGGAAUAUUGCACAAUGGGGGAAACCCUGAUGCAGCGACGCCGCGUGAGCGAAGAAGGCUUUCGAGUCGUAAAGCUCUGUCCUAUGAGAAGAUAAUGACGGUAUCAUAGGAGGAAGCCCUGGCUAAAUACGUGCCAGCAGCCGCGGUAAUACGUAUGGGGCGAGCGUUGUCCGGAAUUAUUGGGCGUAAAGGGUACGUAGGUGGUUUUUUAAGUCAGGUGUCAAAGCGUGGAGCUUAACUCCAUUAAGCACUUGAAACUGAAAGACUUGAGUGAAGGAGAGGAAAGUGGAAUUCCUAGUGUAGCGGUGAAAUGCGUAGAUAUUAGGAGGAAUACCGGUGGCGAAGGCGACUUUCUGGACUUUUACUGACGCUGAGGAACGAAAGCGUGGGUAGCAAACAGG
This 403-nucleotide ribosomal RNA is filed under the name Verrucomicrobiota bacterium. RNAcentral describes it as "Verrucomicrobia bacterium partial 16S ribosomal RNA". It matches the Rfam family "Bacterial small subunit ribosomal RNA", at positions 355 to 776 of the family's 1533-position model. The record is from RNAcentral. Lineage: Bacteria; Pseudomonadati; Verrucomicrobiota.